UGUUGACGGCUCUGCAGAAUUCGGACUCGUGCGCUCCCGCAGUUGCGUGAGUCACUUUUACAAUUUGAUAAUAAGAGACAUCUCUCAUUGAUUCUGUUUCCAAGGAGAACCCUAACUAAUACAAUACCCAUGAAAAUGCUGGAAUGAAUCAUCAAACAAUCAAUCUGUACAAAUUUCCACAACCACAGGGGAUUAAGCCAAGACAUCCAUGGGGCUUUGUGAAGAACCCAAUUUCCCCAUAAGUAUGGUGAGAAGCUUAGGAGAGCAGGGAGAACCAAUGAACAGGACCGGCCCCAUGGGCUCUCUCCCACUCUUGGACAGCAGUGGCUGGUGACACUCCCUGGAGAGCCUGUUGCUUCAGCCUGGGUCCAGGAGCAAAGACAGCAGAGGAGAGCCCCACUGACUCAUUGCAGAUGAAUUUAUAGCCAUAGAUGAAGUGAGCAAGGCUUUGCUGUUUAAGCUGUCAGCAUUAGGGGGUGGUUUGUUAUCACAGCAUAUCACAAGCUCACCUAACUUCAGAGGCUGUCAAUCAUGCGUCCCCAUCUAAGGCAUGGUCCACACUUGGAGAAAUGCAAUCCCAGAUGCUGAUGAGUUCUUGGCUGGUGCAGCCUAGACAACGUUGGGGGCUGCCACUAAUGGAAGUGUUCGCCAAAGCAGCCGGCCAGACCUCGCUCCAACCCUGACACUUGGAAAACAGAGGAGCUGAAGCCCACGCAUUCACGUACUCACCUUCUCAGCCACAGAAGGGGGUUCCAGUCUUGUCACUGCCACUUACUAAUUAUUGCAUGAACACCUUGAGCAAGUUACUCAACUAUGCUGCCAUUUCCUUCAACCAUGAAAUAUCUAUUUUGACUUUGAUCUAAAUAAUGGAAUGUGAUCAAAGAGCAUGUCAUAGCAACAGGCUUACAUGUUGCCUCAAUUAAUGAAGGAUAGUAAUAAUAAUUGAGAAAUGAAUUGAAUUGCUUUGUUUCCUAUAAAAACACAUUGCUUCUGAAACAAAUAAUAAGUAAUAUUUUGUUGGUAUGUCAAAACACCUUUAUGAACAAGCAAUAAAGAAAUUUAACAGUUUCCUCAGAAA
Long non-coding RNA from Choloepus didactylus (southern two-toed sloth), 1078 nucleotides. RefSeq lists it as uncharacterized. Lineage: Eukaryota; Metazoa; Chordata; Mammalia; Pilosa; Megalonychidae. The record is from RefSeq and is a predicted model, not a curated record. The transcript has 3 exons.